This 303-nucleotide long non-coding RNA is filed under the name Manacus vitellinus (golden-collared manakin). RNAcentral describes it as "lncRNA (ENSMVIG00005011771.1)". Lineage: Eukaryota; Metazoa; Chordata; Aves; Passeriformes; Pipridae. The record is from RNAcentral.
GAAAUAUUUUUCAAAGUACAUGGCUGACUGCUGAGCUAUGUUUGAGGUGUUGAUCUCCAGGUUUGUACUUCUAGAAAUCCAACAUGCUGUACUAAAAAGAUGGAAGAAAGGUAUCAGACUGCAGCAAAGCAAGAUAUACAGCAAGUGCUUCAAACAUCAAGUGCUACAUUAAAAUUUUUAAUAUCUCGUAAUGCAGCUGCUUUUCAAGAAGUGGAGUCAUGUACUGCAUUUUCAAAGGCUUUGUGAGAGGUGCUAUUUUCUCCUUGUAAUUGUGAAAGAACAUUUUUGUCUGCCUGGUUAUCC